Molecule: long non-coding RNA, 2003 nt
Filed under: Theobroma cacao (cacao)
Lineage: Eukaryota; Viridiplantae; Streptophyta; Magnoliopsida; Malvales; Malvaceae
Description: long non-coding RNA (TCAC_LNC001552)
Source: RNAcentral
AUUAGAAUAAAAUAAAAAUAUUGAAUAAAAUAUUCAAUUUUCUUAUAAAACAAUAUUUUUAGAACACUGCAUAAAUAAUUUUUACAGCGUAAGAGCAAAAUAAAUUCAUAUAUAUCGUAAUACAGUAAGCCAGAGUAUUUAAUUUAAUUUACAGUAACAAGUGGGCCCUCGAAUAACCGAAAGUAAGAAAAAUUGUGAACCUACAGUUUGGAAGAUGCAAAUCCAAUGGUGGUCCUCGAUGAAAUCAGCUAUCUAUAGACUAUCCUGAGCCUAAAAUGGGUGAAAAUGAGGGUGGUGAGAUUAUAUAAUCCCAGUGAGUAAACAAAUACCAUCUAAAAUAUCUAAAGCCGAGUAAAUGGAGACAGAUAAAAUAAUUUAACAUACUGUAAUUCAUCACCUUUCAACUCAUUUCAAUCAAAUAAAAUCGAUUCAUAUAAAUCGAGUAAAUAACAUGGCUUAUGAAUUUUUUAAAACUUUGGCUCGUGCCAAAAUCAUUUUUAUACCCAGUUAUCAGGGAUGCCUUGAUCGAGGGCUAUCCUAAUCGAGUCCGCCAAUGCUGGUAAAAAGCUAUGUACACAUAAAUCAUGUUUUUAUUUUGAAAACAUAGUCGUUCCUUGGCAUUGGCCGAGUUCACCCUCAUGUGGUGGUUUGGCGUGAAGUGAACUCUAAAGUGUUAACCUCAGGAGUUAUCCAUCCGCGCCUCUCAUACUGAGGUAUGAAUAUAACCAAGUUUCGUGCCCCUCUAAUAGGCAGAUCCACAGAACCAGCCUACUGUAGCAAGCUAAACCCACCAUACAAUAAAAAUUCAACAGCAUGACAUGGCAAUUUUAUCAUUAUCCAGCCUAUCAAGGCCAACAACAGUUUAUACAUUUCAACAUAAAUACAAAUUCAGCGAUUCAUGCCAAUAUUAUCAUAAGCCAAUCAAUUAGAACCAUACAUUCACAAUACAUCAAAUGGUCUCCAAUUACUACAUUUUCAAAGCCAUUAUUCAAUUUCAAGAUAAUUUUAUAAAAUCAUUUCAUUUAAACACAUUUUGCUUAUAAAACAUAAAGAUUUACCAUUUAAACUCAUUUUCCAUAAAAUCACAAAAUCGGAUAAAACAUACUUUAGAUAAUUAAGACGAUAGUAAGGUUACUCACUAUUUUGGAAGUCGAAUUUCAAGUACUCCGAUUCUUGAUUCCUCGGGUACUAUCUCUUUACUUUUGCCAAAAUGCUCACCACCUAGACAUAAUGCACAAUAAGCCAUUUACUACAUUGUGCUAAAUUGUUAUAAAACCAAUUCAGGCUUUAUACUAAUGUAUGAAAUGGGAUGCAAAUUGUUCGGAUUACCGUCUAAACACAGUAUUAUACACAAAUUCAUUUGGGUCCCUAAUUAAAUCGGUAUUGGCCUAAUUCGAUCUAUCACUUGAUUAAUUGGCCAAUAUGUCCAAUUCAACUCCAAUUAAGUCCAUUUUUCUCCCAAUACUCCAAAUCAUUAAACACAAUUUAAAUAACUUGAAAUGUGGCAAAAUCAUCAUCACAUUUUCUCUUGAAAAAUUCGACCAUUUUGAGUGCAUCAACACCAUGAUUUUUUCUACUUGAUUCUCACACCAUAAAUCACUAAUUCCUAACCAAAUCACUUGAAAUAAAAUCAAAAUCAUCAUCAAUAUUCUACAUGGAGAAUUCGGCCAAUGAUGGGUUAUGGGAGAAAAUGAAUUUUUCUUAUUUGAUUUUCAUGCUACACAUCACCAACUAACUAAAAACACUAGAAUAUCUUAAAAUCUAACCAAAACAACCAUCAAAUCUUCUCUCUCUAAAUUCGGUCAGCCAUGAAUCCUUCAUGAUAUCUUGUGAUUCAACCAUGGAAAAUGCAAAAUAAUGCAUGGGAAAGGUAGAUCACAAGUCAAAAUCAAGAAAUUUUACUUUUGAUUGCUUGAUUACUUGAAUUUUCAUACUUUUCCCUUGGAUUUUUCCACCUAGGGUUUGUGUUCUUCUUUUCUUCCUUUGUUCUUGCUAUGGCCGGC